This 1285-nucleotide long non-coding RNA is filed under the name Monodelphis domestica (gray short-tailed opossum). Its description in RNAcentral is "lncRNA (ENSMODG00000030578.2)". The record is from RNAcentral. Lineage: Eukaryota; Metazoa; Chordata; Mammalia; Didelphimorphia; Didelphidae.
AGGACCAGAAAGAAAGAGAAGAGAUUAAAAAAAAAAAACAGAAAGGAAAUAUUGAAAGCUUGCUAUGUGCCAGACACUGUGCUUUUUUUUUUUUUUUUUGCUUUGGGGAAUGGAAAAAUCCAAUCUUCCCUUUCUGCAGGAGCGCCCCUUCUAAAGAAGACACACAGCACAUAAGGAAGGUUUCAGCUGCAAGUCAGAUGGAGAAGUUCCCUACUCCUUCAGGGGCAAUGACAAAACAGAUGGUGAUUGUUCUUUAAUUUUGCUUCCAGAAUGAAUUGAAAAUUGAGGCAGAGAAGUUGAGAAGGUAAUGAAUUUGGGUGGGAAUCCUGGCUUUGCCAAGGAAUCCUUCAGAAACUUUGAACAGGUUAGUUAAUGUCUCUUAGCUGCCUAAUUUUCCUCCUCGGUAAACUAAAUCGCACUGGGCUUGAUCGAUAAGGUUCCCCUCCCGCUCUAAUCUAGGAAUUCAGUGGGGGAAUUGGGUGGGAGAGCUCGCAUCUGCACCCCUGAGAGGAGGGAACAUUUGAUGAGGUCACGUGUUGCCGUAGUUUGGACUUUGCCCCCUUCCUUACGUGGUCCCAUGAUCAGCCGGGCCCCCCUCCUGUUCUCCAUCGCUCUGAAUGGACACUAACGGUGCCAUCUCAAGAUCAGACGCCUACCUCAGCUUUGCUUCCCUCCCCUCUCCCCCCUCCCCCCAAGUGCUCACGGGCAGGCCAUUUAAGCCGCUGAACUUGAGUUUUCAGUUCCUGAAAGGAAAAGAGGGAGCUGCGAGCUUGCGGCCAGUUCUCAAAUCUCGGUCUCCGACCCCUCUAGAGGAGUCUUGCAUUAGGACAAAGAAAAUCAUCAAAGCCAAAGCAGCUGACAGAAAGCAUCUGCAACAAUCCAUAACCAUGGACAACACUUCUCCAGCAAAAGGAAGGGGAUGCAGCUCCUCACCCUUGCUUCAGAACUGAACAGAAGAACAAAAACAUUCCCAUUCAAGACCUCGGUGACCCUGGAUCUGUCAUUUCAAUUUUCUGGAUCUGUUUCCUCACCUUUAAAAUGAGGAUAAUGAUGCCCCUGGUGCCCACUUCACAGGGUUCUUGUGAGUAGGAAAUAAUGUAUGUAAUGAGCUUUACAAACCUUAGGAAAAAAAUUCUUUAUAAAUGUCAACUUCUCCCUUGCCUGUAAUGUAGACUCCUCGAGGGCAGUGUGUGUGUGUGUGUGUGUGUGUGUGUGUGUGUGUGUGUGUGUGUGUGUGUGUGCAUAUUCCUAGCUCUCAGCAUAGGAGGUGGGUACAAUAUUUUUU